AAUAUUGGACAAUGGGGGCAACCCUGAUCCAGCCAUGCCGCGUGAGUGAUGAAGGCCUUCGGGUUGUAAAGCUCUUUUGGCGGGGACGAUGAUGACGGUACCCGCAGAAUAAGCCCCGGCUAACUUCGUUCCAGCAGCCGCGGUAAGACGAAGGGGGCAAGCGUUGUUCGGAAUUACUGGGCGUAAAGGGCGCGUAGGCGGCCAUUUUAGUCAGACGUGAAAGGCCUGGGCUCAACCUAGGAAUUGCGUUUGAUACUGAGUGGCUAGAGAGCGGGAGAGGAUGGUGGAAUUCCCAGUGUAGAGGUGAAAUUCGUAGAUAUUGGGAAGAACACCGGUGGCGAAGGCGGCCAUCUGGACCGUAUCUGACGCUGAGGCGCGAAAGCGUGGGGAGCAAAC
Molecule: ribosomal RNA, 396 nt
Filed under: uncultured bacterium
Lineage: Bacteria
Description: bacterial SSU rRNA
Rfam family: Bacterial small subunit ribosomal RNA
Source: RNAcentral